Molecule: unclassified non-coding RNA, 406 nt
Filed under: soil metagenome
Description: partial contains 5.8S ribosomal RNA, internal transcribed spacer 2, and large subunit ribosomal RNA
Rfam family: 5.8S ribosomal RNA (bases 1-121)
Source: RNAcentral
GAUGAAGAACGCAGCGAAAUGCGAUAAGUAAUGUGAAUUGCAGAAUUCAGUGAAUGAUCGAAUCUUUGAACGCACCUUGCGCCCUUUGGCCAUUCCGAAGGGCAUGCCUGUUUGAGUAUCAUGAACACCUCAACUCUUCAUGGUUUUCCAUGAUGAGCUUGGACUUUGGGGGUCUUGCUGGCCUGUGGGUCGGCUCCUCUCAAAUGAAUCAGCUUGCCGGUUUUUGGUGGGCAUCACAGGUGUGAUAACUAUCUACGCUUGUGGUUUUCCACCAGGGUAACCUUCAGCAGUGGAGGUUCACUGGAGCUUACAAAUGUCUCUCCUCUGUGAGGACAGCCCUUUGAAUGUUUGAUCUCAAAUCAGGUAGGACUACCCGCUGAACUUAAGCAUAUCAAUAAGCGGAGGA